Molecule: long non-coding RNA, 1580 nt
Organism: Rosa chinensis
Lineage: Eukaryota; Viridiplantae; Streptophyta; Magnoliopsida; Rosales; Rosaceae
Exons: 5
Source: RefSeq, a predicted model, not a curated record
UUUGCCCUUGGUGCUUACGUGAAUUACAGUCGCCCAUCAAUGCGUUGGUCUUCUAUAUUUUCAGAAUCAUGUUUUUGAGUAGAAGAGACUGGAAACGCCAAGAAUAUCUAUCAGAUUCUAGAUCUAUCUAAUCACUGUUCUGGCAAUUUACCUUUGUACUAUUCAUAGUCUGAGUAUAUAAGCCAUAAGAUUGACUCACGAGUGGCUUCGGGAACUCUCCAUUUACGUCGACUCCAGCUCCUCCACUGUUGCGAUCUCCGAUCAACGUCAACCUCCAUAGAAACUGAGUGUUCAGAAUUGUCGUGCAUCAAUUCAUCAACCACAGUUUGAAAUUGGAUUGAAGCUUGCAGAACCUUACACUUUCAUCAAUUAUUGUUGACCUUCAACCAGCUAACUAAAACGUUCAAUUUUAUUUCAUUUGGUUCGCACUUAAAUUUACAUUUACAUACUAUUGAAUAAUACCUGAGUGAGUUUCAUGAUGUUUGUUUUAAUCACUUAUAAUGAUCUUUGUUUAGAAGUUAUUCACUGCAUACCAUAUUGGUUUCUUUUUUAUUUGAAAAUGUUUGCAGUAUCUACACUAGGCACUUUUUCGCUGCAUAUACUCUUUACUUUAGUGUUAAUGUGUUUGAAUAUAGCUUUUUAGAGCAGUUUUGCACUGCAUAUUGAUAACUAGAUGAAUGGUCCUACAUCCAUUUAGUUUCUCUUUCAAUUGGUAAACUUCCGGUUCUUAAUUGAUGAAUGGUAGUGAUAUGAAACGUGAUUUGAUUUGUAUCAGUGGUAGUGCUUAAUUUGAAUCCUUUCUUUAGAAGAGUUUACACCAUAUCCAUCUAUGUCAGCUAAUAGCUUUAAGCUAGAAUGUUAUGCCUUAUUGUAAUAAAAUGCAAUCAAUGUUUUUUGGUGUACUGGAAAGAAGCAUAUGAGGGAUUUCUGGUUGUUGCAACUGGCCUAAUAGUUGGGUUCAUAAUGGCUGAUAGUAUAGCAGAAAAGUAAACAUAAAUUUGGAAUAUACUAGAUAGUAAAGUUUGUUUAUUUAUUCAGGUUGGCUACCUAUGAUCUAUCUGAGCUGCAAAUUGAGGGUGAUGGAAAUCGCCAGUUUCGAGCAAUAGCUGAUCAGUUGUUUCGCAAUCCAGAUUACCAUGAGCAUGUUAGAAAGCAGGUUAUAAAGCAUGAGCUAUGGCUGGUUGCUUCUUAUGAAUUAGCAGGCCUAAGGCGUUCUUAGUGGAGAAAUAAGUGAAUGGUGCACUUCAACAAAUCAGCUUGGACAUCUUUCGACCUUCUACAGAGAUUGGAAGGAGUUCUACAUGUUUCAAGAAGACAUCAACAGUUCAACACCAUGAAUGAUCUGUGAUAGUUCUGUAUCAAUGUUCACGCCUUAGGAGAUUAUAGUUACAGUUGCCACUGAUUUUGGAGUGAAACCUACUCUUGCUCUUUGGGUUCAUAGAAUCCAGAAAGAGAGCGUGGGCUAUGUAGCGUCAUUUAGCGUUUAACUACCAAAAGAUAACAAUUGUUUAUAUAUUCUAAUCAACUGUGAACACAUAUCGAUUAUAAAAAUACCCGCAGCAAAGCGCGGGUUAUCUAUC